ACACAGGUUGUGACAGGGAGAAGUGAAACCAGGGCAGAUGGGGACUCCCCAACACUGGGCUUCCCUGCCCCCCACGCCGCCCUGGGGCCAGAGUCCCUGAGAGGCGGGCCUGGGGACCUGGGACUUGGCCUGGACGCCUCACCUACUGCACAGAACGCUCUUUGUCCCACUGUGUCCCUGAGCUGUGGACCAGGAGCUGUGCAAGAUCUUUGUGAAGUCUGUGCAGCGUUGCAUUGCCCUGGCCCAGCUCCUAGUGGAGGAGAACUUGCCAGCCAUUGCCACCACUGUAGGCGGCCCCGAGAGGAGAGUUUAAAGGUCUUCAAUAACGAAUUCUUGUGGCCAGCAAACUAUGUGGCCAAGGCAUGGACAUUAAGCAGGUGAACUCUGCCAUCAACUACCACCUGCCUGAUGAUUCCCACACCUACCUGCAUCGGGAGGCCUGUGCAGGCCAGUUGCCCGAGGGGAUUGUCCAUCACAUUUAUGUCAAGUGAAAACAAUGCCAAGAUUCUCAGUGAGGUGCAGGGUCAAACUGAGGUCGAUGGUACUGAACUGCCUGAUGAGAUGGACAUUUCCUCCUCCAUUGCAGCCAUGGGAGAGGACACACCCAUUCACAGAGCCUGAUGCAGGUCUCACACCCAGGAACCAGGAGAUCAUACAUGACUUGAGCUGAAAUCAAGAGUCAGAUGCCCAACCGACUUACCUACCCAGGCACCCCUACAGUUUAUACUUCCUAAUUAAUUUCUUUUUAAAAAUAUUUUAACUGUGAAUAUAGUUGAAAGACACGAUUACAUUAGUUGCAGGUGCACAACACAGUGACUCAAAUUCUGAAUACAUUCUCUGUUUUUGAGAAAGAGACAGCCAGAGCAGGGAAGAGAGGCAAAGAGGGAGGGAGGGAGAGAGAGAGGGGGGGGGGAUAAGAGAAUCUCAAGCAGGCUGAUUCCUGUGGGGCUGGAUCCCAUGACCCUGGGACCAUGAGCGGAGAACCCACUGCCACCCAGGGGACCUUCACCCUCUGUCUACACCAUGCUGUGCUCACCAGAGUGUAGCUGCCACCUGUCACCAGACAGUGAUGUUGCAGUAUCACUGAUGAGAUUCCCUGUGCUGUGCCUUUUGUUCCUCUGACCUGUUCCUUCCAUACCUGGAGCCUGUGUCUCCCACUCCCCUCACCCACUGUGCCCAUCCUCCCAACCUCCUUCCCUCUGGAAGUCAUCCAUGAGUUCUCUGUAUUUAUAGGUCUGAUUCUGCUGUUUGCUUGUCCAUUUAUUCAUUUGUCCUGUUUUGUAAGUUCCACAUAGGAGUGAGAUCAUGUGGUAUUUGUGUUUCUCAGUCUGAUUUCUUUCACGUAGCAGACACACUGCCCUGUUUGUCCAUCCAUGUUGUCACAAGUGGCAAGAUCUCAUCCUUUUUGUGGCCGCAUAAUAUUCUAGUGUGUGUGUAUAUAUGUGUGUGUAUAUACCACACAUCUUCCUUAGCCAUUUGUCUGUGGGGGGAACACAAGUUGUAUCCCUGUUGCUUUUGAACACAACCUCACUCACUGAACAUCAUUUGGGAUGAGGGCGCCCCCUGGUGUCCGGGCCCCUGUCCAGGUGCUGGACCUGAAGGAGACCCUAGGGAGGGCCUGGCUGAGGAGGAGAAAGGCAGCUGGGUCUUCUCUCCUUAGUCCUGUGGCCGCACGUGGGGUGAAAGGUAAGGGGACAUCCCCCACUGCUCUGCUCUUGGGUGGAUACUGACUGAGAAGCUUUAGUGGGGUCUGGACUGUAACCCAGGUAGAGAUGUCUGAGCAGAAACCUGGGUGUCAGUGGGGAAAGGAAGAAGUUUCUGAGCAGCCCUGGAGUCCACAGGGGUCAGGCUCAGGGGUGAGGAGGGAUUGCAGGAGAGGAGAGCUCAGGAGCCCGUGCCAUUGCUGAGGUGUCUGUGUCCCUGUGCACCUCCUCCAGCCCCGUGAUGGUGAUACAGGGAAAACCGAAAAGUAGAAACACUUCCUUGGACUUCUAUUUCUAAACGUUUCAAAACUCAGUGAAACGAAAAUCAUUUCUGAUGUGGAAAUAGCAACUCAAUGUCUAUACAAUGCUCCAUAGUGUGGACAUGUACACUCACAGUUUGUGAGUUGACCCCACAACAGGCGCUGGGCUGACAGCACUGAGUCCGCUAGGGAUUCUCUCUCUCUCCCUCCCUUUCCCUCUCUC
Molecule: long non-coding RNA, 2186 nt
Organism: Neofelis nebulosa (Clouded leopard)
Lineage: Eukaryota; Metazoa; Chordata; Mammalia; Carnivora; Felidae
Exons: 5
Source: RefSeq, a predicted model, not a curated record